This is a long non-coding RNA of Heterocephalus glaber (naked mole-rat), 313 nucleotides long. NCBI's taxonomy places the organism in Eukaryota, Metazoa, Chordata, Mammalia, Rodentia, Bathyergidae. The record is from Ensembl.
AGUGCAUCUGGGCUUGCUGAGCAUCACAGAGGAUGGGCCAAGCUUACCAGGGACAGCUGCUCUGCUGCCCAGGUUCGGCUGAGCUGUGCAGCUGGUCCCUGGCUCCGACCUCCACCCCCAGAUCCUGCAAAGCCUCACUGGAGGAUGCUUGCCUUUGAAGAGCCACAUGGAACUGAUUUCCUGAUAAUUGCAGGGCCCAGUGCAAAGUGAAAAUGCAGGGCUUGUGUUAACAACCUAUAAAAAAUUCCCAGAUGGAAAAAGAAGGCAUUAAACCAAGUGUGGAAUUCAACUGACUGCAUGGGACACAUGCUCU